CGUAGGGUGCAAGCGUUGUUCGGAAUUACUGGGCGUAAAGCGCGCGUAGGCGGGUUUGUAUGUCGAUUGUGAAAGCCCUGGGCUUAACCUGGGAAUGGCAGUCGAAACUGCAAAUCUUGAAUGCCUGAGAGGAUGGCGGAAUUCCCGGUGUAGAAGUGAAAUUCGUAGAUAUCGGGAAGAACACCUGAGGCGAAGGCGGCUAUCUGGCGGUGCAUUGACGCUGAGGCGCGAAAGCGUGGGGAGCAAACAGGAUUAGAUACCCUGGUAGUCCACGCCGUAAACUAUGGAUACUAGGUGUCCGGGAUGUUAACCUCCUGGGUACCGAAGCUCACGCAUUAAGUAUCCCGCCUGGGGAUACGGUCGCAAGACCU
RNAcentral lists this ribosomal RNA (371 nucleotides) under uncultured organism. RNAcentral's name for it is "bacterial SSU rRNA". It matches the Rfam family "Bacterial small subunit ribosomal RNA", at positions 526 to 896 of the family's 1533-position model. The record is from RNAcentral.